Molecule: ribosomal RNA, 668 nt
Filed under: uncultured bacterium
Lineage: Bacteria
Description: bacterial SSU rRNA
Rfam family: Bacterial small subunit ribosomal RNA
Source: RNAcentral
AGAGUUGUAUCCUGGCUCAGAACGAACGCUGGCGGCGUGCCUAACACAUGCAAGUCGAACGAGAAGUACGUAGCAAUACGUAUUGUAAAGUGGCGCACGGGUGAGUAACACGUGGGUAAUCUGCCCUUGAGUUUGGGAUAACCCCGCGAAAGCGGGGCUAAUACCGGAUAAGACCACGGGGACCAAAGUCCCUGGGGUAAAAGGUGGCCUCUAUUUAUAAGCUACCACUUGAGGAUGAGCCCGCGGCCCAUUAGCUAGUUGGCAGGGUAACGGCCUACCAAGGCGAUGAUGGGUAGCUGGUCUGAGAGGACGAUCAGCCACACUGGAACUGAGACACGGUCCAGACUCCUACGGGAGGCAGCAGUGGGGAAUAUUGCGCAAUGGGCGAAAGCCUGACGCAGCAACGCCGCGUGGGGGAUGAAGGUUCUCGGAUUGUAAACCCCUUUCGAUCGGAACGAAUCCCCUCCUGGUAAAUAAUCAGGAGGAUCGACGGUACCGGGAGAAGAAGCCACGGCUAACUCUGUGCCAGCAGCCGCGGUAAGACAGAGGUGGCGAGCGUUGUUCGGAUUUAUUGGGCGUAAAGCGUACGCAGGCGGUUUGGUAAGUCAGAGGUGAAAGACCACAGCUUAACUGUGGCACUGCCUUUGAUACUGCCUUUCUAGAGUGCA